AAACUAUGAUGUGGACAGCUUCUCAGUAAAUUCUUGAAACAUUCCCAACAAUCGUACAAAAUCUCAUUCUCUUGUUCAAGAAACCCUGCUAUGUCAUUCCUCAACUU
This is a small nucleolar RNA of Ricinus communis (castor bean), 107 nucleotides long. NCBI's taxonomy places the organism in Eukaryota, Viridiplantae, Streptophyta, Magnoliopsida, Malpighiales, Euphorbiaceae. The record is from RefSeq and is a predicted model, not a curated record.